Molecule: non-coding RNA, 397 nt
Organism: Pelobates cultripes (western spadefoot toad)
Lineage: Eukaryota; Metazoa; Chordata; Amphibia; Anura; Pelobatidae
Source: the annotation of a GenBank genome assembly
GUUCGGUAUACGAAUGGCAGCCACCCAGCAUUCGUCAAUUAAGCUGCGGUUAACCGCAGAUUCUGGGAGGUUAAUUGCCGACACACUCCAGCUCCAAGGUGGUCCAGUCAUUUGUGCGUUAGUUCGGUAGAUUGAAUCUACCGACCGCCGGGCAGAAAGGCACGAAUAAGCCUUUUCUGCAGGGGAAAAGAAGGCUUUUAACAUGGGGCCAUAAUCCAAAGGCAACAGGCGAGCAACCAGGCUUCUCCAAUGCAAUGUGGCGAGAUUGGUCUCCUCACACCAAUCUUACAUUUUUUAUUUUUUUUGUCCUCCUGUAUACCUCAUAUUAGCUCCAGAAUUUCUCCAAUCACACACUUAGAAGUAGCAAACAAGCUAUAUUAGCCAAGCUAAUGACCAC